UGUUGUUCUGUUACCUAGGC
This 20-nucleotide non-coding RNA is filed under the name Rattus norvegicus (Norway rat). Lineage: Eukaryota; Metazoa; Chordata; Mammalia; Rodentia; Muridae. The record is from RNAcentral.